AGUUCAGAACCACCAUUGCCUCUCUCUCUCUCUCCCCCUCCUGUUGGAGUUCCAAAACGAUGUCGUUAUGGAAGACGACGGUGCAGCAACCUCUUCUACUACUACAACUACAACAACAACAACACUCAACGCCAAUGCAUUCUUCUUCCUUCAUUUCAACGAACACGAUGAAUCAGAAGAAGAAGAGUACGAGUAACAGAAGAGCCCUAAUUCUAUGUUGUUCUGGUUCCAACACGUCGUCGUAUUCACCAUCUCCGUCGAUUUCAACAACAACAACAACAACCAGUGCUCCGCCAAUUAUAAAGCGGAGGAAGAGGUAUAGGAGGCAGUAUCCAGGAGAAAGCAUAGGAAUCACUGAAGAGAUGAGGUUCGUUGCUAUGAGACUCCGAAACGUUAAAGGCAAAAAAUACACUAAAGAUUCACUCAGUGAAGACGAAAAAGAAGACGAUAAUUUAGGUUCAGACAACGAUAAUGAUGGUGAUGAUGAUGGAGGAGUGACGUGGCAGCCCAGCAUGGAAGGGUUCCUCAAUUAUUUGGUUGAUAGCAAGCUCGUCUUCAACACUGUAGAGCGCAUUGUCGAUGAAUCCAGUCACGUUGCCUAUGCCUAUUUCAGAAAAACUGGAUUGGAACGAUCAGAAGCUCUUGAAAAAGAUUUAGAUUGGCUUGGGCAGCAGGGCUUUGUGAUUCCUGAACCUAGCGGUCCGGGGAUUUCUUAUGCCAAGUAUUUGGGGGAACUUUCAGAGAAGAGUGCCCCAUUGUUCAUGUGCCAUUUCUACAAUAUAUAUUUUUCGCAUAUAGCAGGAGGUCAAGUGAUAGCAAGACAGGUUUCUGAGAAGCUCCUAGAAGGAAGGGAGUUGGAAUUCUUCAGAUGGGAGGGCAAUGAUGCAGAGUUGAUAAAAGAUGUUCGUGAGAAGCUCAACAUGCUUGGCGAGCACUGGUGUCGUGAUGAGAAAAACAGAUGCCUAAAAGAAGCAACAAAGGCAUUUCGUUUCCUGGGGCAGAUUGUCCGCUUGAUCAUCUUAUGAAGUCAUCUCAAAUUACAAUUCUGAAUGUUUUUCAAGAGUCCUAUUGGACUGGAUGAUUGAUGUGCAGGUGGCUGGAUCUCAGUUCUUUUCCCCCAAAGUAAAGCAAAGCUUCCUCUGAAUGACUCCUGGCUGAUGUCCAUGUCUCGAGACAUUAGUGGCAUAGUCAUGUGAGAACACUAUUUGUACCUGGAUUAUAACCCUAGAAGCUACCCUCAAUCUUAGCCAAAAGGCCGAGGAUGGUAUAACCCUAGAAGCUAGAAAGGACCAGCAGAGAUGCUACACUGGCUGAACUUGGGCGUGACAAAAUUCUUAUGAGAUUUUUUUUUUUUUUUUUUUUGGGUGUAAUUUGCAGUACUGCUAUGUUUAGCUCUACAUGGGUUGGCUAGUGCUAAUAUGGUUGUUUAUACUUUAUGCUGGUGGUGAAAUUUGUGUUCAGUAAUGUCAAUGAAAUUUGUAUGAUUUAAUCAAGCAAUUAGGUAAACUAAGUGUUGUACU
Molecule: RNA transcript, 1520 nt
Organism: Quercus robur (English oak)
Lineage: Eukaryota; Viridiplantae; Streptophyta; Magnoliopsida; Fagales; Fagaceae
Gene name: probable inactive heme oxygenase 2, chloroplastic
Exons: 6
Source: RefSeq, a predicted model, not a curated record